Alligator mississippiensis (American alligator) is the source of this 2966-nucleotide long non-coding RNA. RefSeq lists it as uncharacterized. Lineage: Eukaryota; Metazoa; Chordata; Crocodylia; Alligatoridae. The transcript has 2 exons. The record is from RefSeq and is a predicted model, not a curated record.
CCCUCUGAGCCCAAUACUCCAGUCAGUUUUCUGUUCACUGUACAGUCCAUUCAUCUGGCCCGUACUUCCUUAGCCUGCCUGAGAGAAUGUUGUGGGAAACCGUGUCAAAACCUUUGCUAAAAUCAAGGCACACCACAUCCACUGGUCUCCCCAUGUCCACAGAGCCAGUCACCUCAUCAUAGAAGGCAAUCAGGUUGGUCAGCCAUGACUUGCCCUUGAUGAGUCCAUGCUGACUGUUCCCAAUCACCUUCUUCUUCUCCAAGUGCUUAGAAUACUGUGUGUAGCAGGGCACUAAGGUGCCUGUUACUGAGAGAGCCAGGAAGACUACUCAGGUGCUGGUUGCUGAGGCUUAAAAGCCAUGCCCAAGCAAAAGAAAUGGGCAAGAUUUUUGCAAAGGAGAUGGAGAAAGUAAAAGCUAACCUGGCAAGUUAUGAGGACCUAUACAAUCGAAGCUUGUCCCUUGAAAGAGAGUUAGAAGCUGGGACAAAAGAGACUGAGAGGUUACAGUCUCAGUUGCAGAGUGUGGAGGUAGAAAGAGACCGCAUGGGAGAAUAGGUACAGUUCCUUAAAUCCAUCAUAGAAGAUAACGUGGCUAGAGAGGCUGUGACUAACGCAGAGAGGGAGCAGUCACAGCAGCAAAUACAGAUUCUGAGUCAGCAGAUUCAAGCCUUAGAGGCAGAAAAUGAGAUGCUACGGGCAGCCAGCAGUCAGACAGCGGCAAAAGGCCAAGAUCCUGAGGAGCCGGAGGGGCCAGAGUUAAGAAGUGCAGAAACCCAGACUGAAGGAGGACCAGAGGCUCAAGCAGUGGAGUGGAUAGAAGUGAUGCAAGAGAGGCUGGAGACACUGGGAGCCCAGCUGGUGGAAUGUGUGACCACGGCGAAGUCUAAAUGCCUAGAGCAACACCAGGAACUGGAAGUGGUGAAAAGGUCCCUGAGGUAAGUGGAGACGCAACUAACAACCAUACGGCUAGGGGUCCGGAAGCCUCCGGAACAAAUAAAGUUCCUUGGUGACCAAGGACCAGAGGAUCCAGAAGAAGAGACCGAGUUAGGGCAAUCGGAGAGAAGCAACCCAGAGAAGGGAUCGGUAGGGGUGAAACCUACGGCCCUACAAGAAGAGGUCCUACCAGCCCUCUUGGAGUGCUGGAAUAGGAGAUGGGACCAAUGGGUGAAGCUUCAUGCGAGGGAGAUGAGCCGCCUAAGACAUCAGCUGGGUGAGCUCUGUAAAACUCGAGCCAGGGGAGGAAUUACAGUACCCAGGCAGAGGCAGGUAGUGGAAGGGGACACGAGAGCUGCAGGGACAGCAGAGAGAAGUGCGUAGGCUAGCCCAAGGAGCGAGAUGUGUUGGCAGGUUAGCCACGGAGGUAUACAGGUGACACAAGGCCUGAGACAAAAGGAGUCAGAGACAAGUCCCAGAGAAAAAGGGUCAGUGAGACUGAGAAAAGAAAGCCAGGUCCAAAAGCCAGAGAUACAGAGGAGGGAAUGACCACCCGAAGUGGGACCAAAGCUUGAGAGAAGACUACAAGUAUACAUAAAUAACAUCCCGAGACAGGUCCAGUGGUGGACGUUAAGGAAAUUCAUUGAAACAACAGUUGGAGGAGUGGCCUAUGUAAAAAUUUACAAAGAUCCUAAAGGAAGGCCUACUGGCUGAGGGAAGAUAGAGUUUUGGAGGGAAGAAUAUGCCCAGAAAGCAUUGGAGAGACAGUGGGAGAUCUGGAAAAGGCUUCAGGGGCUCCAGAGAGUAUUAGAAAAGCCAGAGACCACACAACCUACCUGGAGAAAGAGACUAAGGUUUGCAGGGGUGGACAGGUCAGAAACGAGAAGAAACCCCAAAAGGGAGGUGGGAGCCCGACUGACAGGGACUGCAACCUACCAAGGUCGGCUAGUGUCGGGGGACUGCUCGUGGCGGGACAGCUCCCGUAAAAUCCCACAUGAUGCGCCUUGGGUAAAAGGCGAGUUGGAGGCGGCUGAAAACCUCUGCCUCCAUGCGUCAGAAGUGUCGGUGGGUCAGCAUAAAAGCAUAAGAAGAAAAGACAGAAGAUGCACAGCAGAAGAAGAUUCAAGACGGCCUGGUGAGUUGAAAUCUUAAGUGGGGAGGUGUGUAGCAGGGCACGAAGGUACCUGCUACUGAGAGAGCCAGGAAGACUCCUCAGGUGCCGGUUGCUGAGGCAACUAGAGGGAGCUAAUGAUCCACACCUGCCUAGCCAGCUGACAAGAAGGGGCAGGGCCUGGCUCCUAUAUAAACCACAGGCAGGAGGCCAGGUGGCAGUUUCCUACCAGCAGCCAAGACAGAAGGAGCUCCUUGCUAGAAAGAAAAGAAAAGAGAAGCCGAGCUGGGAUGCCAGAGCAGCGUUGGUCACCAUGGUGGGAUAGAGAACCCUGGAACCACAGACCUCACCCAGGAACAGAGACAAAACCCAGCAUUUGAAAGAUAAAGAACAUACAGGAACCCAACAUUUGAAAGACAAAGACCCUACAGAAACCAGCAACCCCACCAUUGUAUCCCACCAGUUAAUGAGGACACCUGGAUCUGUACGUAUCCACCUGAACAGGACUGGGCAUGCCUGGACAUGUCCUUCCUAUAGAAGACAUAGGUAGCCCACCCCUGUAAAAGGGGUGAUAGAGUGUGACCUCUUUGGGAUGCCCUCUCUAUCUGGACCAGCACUGUGCCAUGUCACCUAUCCACCCAGAGGCCCUGCUGGCAACCCUCUCUGGAUAAUACCUUACUGGAGAAGACCCCGAUUGGCCAUCAAGGAUCAACUCGCAGCCCAGGAUAGGUAGUUAUCCUUCCCCAGGCAAAGGACUUGGACUCUGUCCCCACACACCUUGACUCCAGUCCCUCCACCAAGCCUUUCCUCUCCUGCUUCCAUUGUGUGUGUGUGUGAGAGUGUAUGUGUGUGGGAACCAAUAAUUUUGUGGGGCUGUAUAGUGUGCUGCCUGAUUAAUAAAACUGUUAUUUUGAAACCUCAA